CCAAGUAGUGUUUUUCUCUCAUAAUAAAUAAUCGAACAAUAUUUUCAGCCAUGACUUUUCAGAUCAGCGAACAGGUUUGCAAAGUAACUUUUUCCUUUCAUCAUCCCUCACCUUUAUUUUCUCUUAUUUUUCUUUUUUAGUAUGGACCAAGUAGCUUUUGCAAGCCACUAGCUAUGACAAAUUUAGAGCACCUAUUUUUUUAUUCGAUCUUACAUAUUCACUGGUC
RNAcentral lists this long non-coding RNA (226 nucleotides) under Sorghum bicolor (sorghum). RNAcentral's name for it is "long non-coding RNA (SBIC_LNC015160)". The record is from RNAcentral. Lineage: Eukaryota; Viridiplantae; Streptophyta; Magnoliopsida; Poales; Poaceae.